UCAGACAGCACUUGCUAUGGAGAAGGGCAGCUCUCAACCAGAUCAUGAUUAUGAAAACGUGGACAUUAAGCAGCCGACAAGCAGAAGGGCAGGAGCACAACAUGGGGCACUAGCUCUGGGGAUGAACGAGUAUGCAUCAGAUUCUAUCUAUGCAAACACAGUCAGCAAGCAGCCCCAAUGCAUAAGACCAGGAGAGCAACAAUGGGAUGGCUAAACACGUUCCUGAGCUGUCGCUUUUGGGCCAGCACAAGCCGGAACUGCACUUCACGAACUUUCACCAAAUAGUCUGUUAUCACCCACCAUGAGCACUAAUACACACUCCCUGGACUGGUGACCGUGUUUUAGCAUUAUGGGACGGAUAGCGAUUAUUGUUUAGGACUGUAAACCCAUUUGUUUGGCUCUGCGCAUUACACAUUGUUGUGUAUUGCCGGA
This is a long non-coding RNA of Polyodon spathula (Mississippi paddlefish), 432 nucleotides long. RefSeq lists it as uncharacterized. Lineage: Eukaryota; Metazoa; Chordata; Actinopteri; Acipenseriformes; Polyodontidae. The transcript is spliced from 3 exons. The record is from RefSeq and is a predicted model, not a curated record.